Petromyzon marinus (sea lamprey) is the source of this 3617-nucleotide non-coding RNA. The record is from RefSeq and is a predicted model, not a curated record. Lineage: Eukaryota; Metazoa; Chordata; Hyperoartia; Petromyzontiformes; Petromyzontidae.
UGGGACUUUGUAGGAUGAACGUUGAGAUUUAUAAGGAGCACGGGGUGACCAACAAAGGUCUGAGUUGGUCUGUAAUAAGGUAGGGGGCACUGAUAAUGGGUUGAGAGGUAUGCAAAGCCAUCUAUCACCAUCCUACGAUGUAACUUUAGAUCCUGCACACGAGCUCGUGGCAUCGCUCCGUCUCCCCGCGGAUGAGCCGUAAACAUCUCGGGACGCGUUCUAUUAUCUUGGCCUGUCACGUCGUUCGUGGUCGAGGAUGACGACUCUUACCCCGUCGUUCAUCGUGGCUUGUAGCGACUUGUCCUGCCCAAGCCCACUUUAAUAGCGAAUUGAAGCCCUCACGGCGCCACCGCUGACCCCGGGUGUAAACGGGUGGAGAUGCCGGUUCCCCCCGAGCAGCUUCUCACGCCGGCGAUGCUGGGCGGUGAACCCGAACCGGUGCCGGUGGCCCCCCUAGUGGCCCUAUCGUGCACCUUGCCAGACGCCGAAGUGGACGAGGAGAGCAUCCGCCUGGAGCGGCUCCUCGGGGACAAGGAGCGGGAGUGGCACGAGCUGCAGAAGCUGCGAGCGCGUGCGCUGGCGGAGUCGGUGCGGCGGGCGGAGAGGGCGACUGCUGAGGAGAGGGAGCGCUUCCUGCAGCUCAAGGAUGACUUCAAGUUCAACCUCAGGCUGCUGGAGGAGCGCGAUGGCGAGCUGGAGCACUGUGAGGCAGAUUUGGCGAGCGCGCGCUCCGACAAUGCGGAGUUACGUGCCCACGUCAGCGAGCUGAGCGUGCAGGCCGACCGCCUGCGCUCCGCCCUGGCCGCUGCGAGGCGCGACGGCGAGGAGGAGAUGGCGCAGCACCGUGAAAGGCUGCGGGAACUCCGCCUGGACACAGAGAGGGCACGUGGGGGGGUGGAGGCUCAGCUGAGCCAGCGUAGCGAGGAACUGGAGCGGCUGAGGAGGGAGCUCGAGAGAAAGGUGGAGGAGACCCGUGGGGAGCUCGGCCUGCAGAAACAGGAGCUGCUCGCCGAGUUUGAUGUGCACUUGCAAAAGCGCGAGCACGAAUUCCGUCUCCAUGCCGACCAGAUGAGCAACACGGUGCUGGCACACGAGCUCAAGGUUCGGCUGCUGGGCAAGGAGCUGGAGGCAGCUCAGGCGGCGAACGAGCGCUAUGGGGCCGCGCUGGCGGCCGCCGAGACAGCGCAGGUGGAGCUGGAGAAGCGUCUGCGCGAGGCCGAGUGGGCCCUACGGGACGAGGUGGCCGUGCGUGACGCCAGGAUCAAGGAGCUGGAGGAACGGGCGGAGGAUGCACGGUUGGCACACGCCAAGGGGCUGGAGCUGCUGAACCGCAAGUGCACCGAGCUGGACCGUCAGACGCGGGAGAGCGCCGCCGCACUGGAGCGAGUGAGGGCGGCCGGCGCGGAGCGCGAGCGAGCGCUGGAGGCACAGCUGCGGGAGCUGCGCGGGGAGCUCCAGGAUGGGGAGGUGGAGCGCAAGCGGCUGGAGUGGAGCCAUGCUGAUGCCCUACACCUCAAGGACCAUGACAUGGAGAAGCUGCGGGAGGAGCUGCAGCUGGCGCGGACUGCCUGGGACACGCACGUGACGCAGCAGGCGCGACAGACAGUGCGCAGGGACGUGGAGACGGAGGCCGACCGGCAGGCGCUUGCCAAGAUGCGCGCUGAGCUCGCCGCAUGUCAGGACGCCUCCGCCAGGUACAAGCAAGAGCUGGCGUUGGCCGUGCAGCGGCAGGAAGAGCUGGAGAGGGAGCGCGAGCAGCUUGCGCUCGACUCGCAGCGCAGGGCGGAGGAGCGGGAGAGCGCCCUCCACCGGCAGGGAGACAAAGUGCUGCAACCCAUCAUGCAGGCGCGAGACCAGGCCGUGCUGCGGCUGAAGGAGCGCGAGCGCGAGCUGAGCGAGGCGGUGUCUGCCGGGGCACGGCUGAGACGCGAACGCGACAGGGCCAUGGCGACUCUUCUCAAGCACGGCAUCGCUUUGCAGGAUAACGAACCGCAGGAUGAGGAGUCCGAUCUGGUGGGCACGGAUGACUCAUCGCUGCGUGCCCAGAACGCUGCCCUGCGCGCCGUAAUCGGGGAGAUGCGGCGGGAGAUGGAGGCGCUCACGGGCGCUGGCGGGAAGCCCACCAGGGAGGCCGGUGUGUCGCCAGCGAUAAAGGGAGCUGAGCUGCAGCUGGAGGCCACCGUGAGGAGGCAGGCGGGGCAGGUAGCACGGCUAGCCGCUACCGUGGCCCAGCUGACGCGGCAGGAGGAUCUGCGCAGGCUGCGUCUCAUCGCUGAUCCCGGUGGCGCCGCUGUUGCCGAAACCUCCCAUCCUCGUGUCGCCGAGCUGCAGGUCAGGUUGAGGCAAGCGGCGCGGCACGUGGCACGACUCUCCCGUGAGCGCCAGCAGCUGCUUGAGCUGGGGAACCGGCUGAGGGCUCAGCUGGCCAGCGCCGGCCUGCACGAGUCCGAGGAUGAACCUCGGUCGGAGGGUGAGGAUACAGAUCCCGGACAGCGCCGUUUGUCUGCACGGGGACACGGGGCCAAGACGCGGCUGUCCCAGCUGGAGGCGCUACAGUACCAGCUGACGUCACAGGAGCUGCAGUUUGCCCAGCAUUCCCGCCGCGUGCCUCCGCUCCCGGCGCCGGCCGACUCCGGCGAGACCGACAAGAGCAGCCUGACGGCGCCAACGCCGGCCCAGCGUGAGGCACUGCUCUCGUCGGAUGGAGGGGGCAGCUCGCUCCACGAGCUCUGGAAAAUGCUGGAACAAGACGACCCUGGCAGCUCUCCCAGCUACGACAAGGGUGGAGCCCGUCCCUCGACCUCCCGCUCACCCAGAUGCCCAACAGCCACCGCCGUCACCGGGGAGCUCCACACCCCGGAGAAGCCCAGUCGCGACGCGGGGCCCGAGGAGAUUGUAGUGCGGGCGCGGGGGCUGACCCCGCACGCCCGACCCCGAAAGGUGGCCGGCCGUAACCCUUGGGGUGACUCGACAAAUUCAUCGGGCAAGCCGCGCACACCGGGACGGGGACGGGUGCGUAACUACAACAUGCGGGAUUGACACGCCCAAGAGGUGGUUUAACCGACCCGCCAGGUGGGGGUGAUGAUCGGCUGAGCGGACAUGUCUAACUGAUGAAUCUGUGUGUCAUCAUCGUUACAUCCCUCGCACCAACAAUAAUAAGAGAGUACAACACUGAAUUACGCUCACGGGCAAUUGAAAUGGCUUUUGCGUGCUGCUUUUAAAUUUAAAAAAACACCAUAACGGUUGUAAUACUGUGGAUCUGUCUCUGAAAAUAGAUUUUAAAAGUGCUAUUUCUCAGAAUGGUAGAGUUGAGAUUAAAAAAAAAUUGUGUAUUCUUUUGAAAGAUUGGUAAUGUUGAAUUUGCCUUAAGGGUUUGCUGUGUUUGUAGAUGUCGCAGUACAGUUAACUCUUGAUUUAUCCGUGAGUGGAUUUACCGGGUUGUGGAUUAAUGAUGCUUGUGAACAAAAUAAAUAUUUGUGGGCGUGCUGGUUUUAUCGGUUGUACUACUGGCUGCUCCUCACUUGUCGACGGUCAGCGACUCGGUGCCCACAUGACUGCAAACACGUCGGCAAGAAAAUCGAUUACUUUAAGAAGGAAUAAAAACAGAUGAUGCAUUC